This 746-nucleotide ribosomal RNA is filed under the name Saguinus leucopus (silvery-brown bare-face tamarin). RNAcentral describes it as "partial small subunit ribosomal RNA". It matches the Rfam family "Bacterial small subunit ribosomal RNA", at positions 23 to 1282 of the family's 1533-position model. The record is from RNAcentral. Lineage: Eukaryota; Metazoa; Chordata; Mammalia; Primates; Cebidae.
CUUUCUAUUAGCUUUCAGUGAGAUUACACAUGCAAGUAUCCACACCCCUGUGAGAAUGCCCUCUACCAGAGCACNNNNGAGGAGCGAGUAUCAAGCACGCACUAUGCAGCUCAAAACACUUUGCUUUAGCCACGCCCCCACGGGAAACAGCAGUGACAAACUUUUAGCAAUGAACGAAANGUUUAACUAAGCUACACUGACCACUAGAGUCGGUCAAUUUCGUGCCAGCCACCGCGGCCAUACGAUUGACUCAAGUUAAUAGAGCGCGGCGUAAAGGGUGUUUAAGACUUAAACCCAAAUACAAUAAAGCUGACCUGUAACUAAGUCGUAAAAAACCUCAGUUACAGUGAAAUGUACUACGAAAGUGGCUUUAGUACUCUGAAUACACUAUAGCUAAGGUACAAACUGGGAUUAGAUACCCCACUAUGCUUAGCCCUAAACCUCAAUAAUUCAACUAACAAACUUAUUCGCCAGAAUACUACAAGCAACAGCUUGAAACUCAAAGGACCUGGCGGUGCUUUACAUCCGUCUAGAGGAGCCUGUUCUAUAAUCGAUACACCCCGAUAAACCUCACCACCUCUUGCCAUCAGCCUGUAUACCGCCAUCUUCAGCAAACUCCCCAAUGAUCGUAAAGUAAGCGGAAGUAUCAUCAUAAAAACGUUAGGUCAAGGUGCAGCCAAUGACGUGGGAAGAAAUGGGCUACAUUUUCUGAAUCAGAAAAUUUCACGAUANACUCUUAUGAAACU